RNAcentral lists this ribosomal RNA (496 nucleotides) under uncultured bacterium. RNAcentral describes it as "partial 16S ribosomal RNA". It matches the Rfam family "Bacterial small subunit ribosomal RNA", at positions 28 to 506 of the family's 1533-position model. The record is from RNAcentral.
GAUGAACGCUGGCGGCGUGCCUAAUACAUGCAAGUCGAGCGAACAGACGAGGAGCUUGCUCCUCUGACGUUAGCGGCGGACGGGUGAGUAACACGUGGAUAACCUACCUAUAAGACUGGGAUAACUUCGGGAAACCGGAGCUAAUACCGGAUAAUAUAUUGAACCGCAUGGUUCAAUAGUGAAAGACGGUUUUGCUGUCACUUAUAGAUGGAUCCGCGCCGCAUUAGCUAGUUGGUAAGGUAACGGCUUACCAAGGCAACGAUGCGUAGCCGACCUGAGAGGGUGAUCGGCCACACUGGAACUGAGACACGGUCCAGACUCCUACGGGAGGCAGCAGUAGGGAAUCUUCCGCAGUGGGCGAAAGCCUGACGGAGCAACGCCGCGUGAGUGAUGAAGGUCUUCGGAUCGUAAAACGCUGUUAUUAGGGAAGAACAAAUGUGUAAGUAACUAUGCACGUCUUGACGGUACCUAAUCAGAAAGCCACGGCUAACUACGU